GCGUGGGAAUCUGCCCUCAGGAGGGGGAUAACGGCCGGAAACGGCCGCUAAUACCCAAUAUGCCGAGAGGUGAAAUGAAUUUCGCCUGAGGAUGAGCCCGCGUCUGAUUAGCUAGUUGGUGAGGUAAGAGCUCACCAAGGCAUCGAUCAGUAGCUGGUCUGAGAGGAUGAUCAGCCACACUGGAACUGAGACACGGUCCAGACUCCUACGGGAGGCAGCAGUGGGGAAUAUUGCACAAUGGGCGCAAGCCUGAUGCAGCCAUACCGCGUGUGUGAAGAAGGCUUUCGGGUUGUAAAGCAC
Molecule: ribosomal RNA, 300 nt
Filed under: uncultured Synechococcus sp.
Lineage: Bacteria; Bacillati; Cyanobacteriota; Cyanophyceae; Synechococcales; Synechococcaceae
Description: bacterial SSU rRNA
Rfam family: Bacterial small subunit ribosomal RNA
Source: RNAcentral